RNAcentral lists this ribosomal RNA (386 nucleotides) under uncultured bacterium. RNAcentral's name for it is "bacterial SSU rRNA". It matches the Rfam family "Bacterial small subunit ribosomal RNA", at positions 29 to 439 of the family's 1533-position model. The record is from RNAcentral.
AACGAACGCUGGCGGCAUGCCUAACACAUGCAAGUCGAACGAGACCUUCGGGUCUAGUGGCGCACGGGUGCGUAACACGUGGGAAUUUGCCUCGGGGUAUGGAAUAACUCAGGGAAACUUGAGCUAAUACCAUAUAAUGUCUUCGGACCAAAGAUUUAUCGCCCUGAGAUAAGCCCGCGUAGGAUUAGCUAGUUGGUGGGGUAAAGGCUCACCAAGGCGACGAUCCUUAGCUGGUCUGAGAGGAUGAUCAGCCACACUGGGACUGAGACACGGCCCAGACUCCUACGGGAGGCAGCAGUGGGGAAUAUUGGACAAUGGGCGAAAGCCUGAUCCAGCAAUGCCGCGUGAGUGAUGAAGGCCUUCGGUUGGUAAAGGUACUCUUUUAC